This 886-nucleotide ribosomal RNA is filed under the name uncultured Pelagibacterales bacterium. RNAcentral's name for it is "bacterial SSU rRNA". It matches the Rfam family "Bacterial small subunit ribosomal RNA", at positions 565 to 1461 of the family's 1533-position model. Lineage: Bacteria; Pseudomonadati; Pseudomonadota; Alphaproteobacteria; Candidatus Pelagibacterales. The record is from RNAcentral.
GAGCACGUAGGUGGUUAAGAAAGUUGGUGGUGAAAUCCCAAGGGUUUAACCUGGGAACUGCCACUAAAACUUUUUAACUGGAGUAAGAUAGAGGUAAGCGGAAUUUUUAGUGUAGAGGUGAAAUUCGUAGAUAUUAAAAAGAACACCGAUUGCGAAGGCAGCUUUCUGGAUCUUUACUGACACUGAGGUGCGAAAGCAUGGGUAGCGAAGAGGAUUAGAUACCCUCGUAGUCCAUGCCGUAAACGAUGUGUGCUAGAUGUUGGGAAUUUUAUUCUCAGUGUCGCAGCAAAAGCGUUAAGCACACCGCCUGGGGAGUACGACCGCAAGGUUAAAACUCAAAUGAAUUGACGGGGACCCGCACAAGCAGUGGAGCAUGUGGUUUAAUUCGAAGAUACGCGCAGAACCUUACCAACACUUGACAUGUUCGUCGCGAACCUAAGAGAUUAGGUUCUUCAGUUUGGCUGGACGAAACACAGGUGCUGCAUGGCUGUCGUCAGCUCGUGUUGUGAGAUGUUGGGUUAAGUCCCGCAACGAGCGCAACCCUUACUUUUAGUUGCUACCAUUUAGUUGGGCACUCUAAAAGAACUGCCAGUGAUAAGCUGGAGGAAGGUGGGGAUGACGUCAAGUCCUCAUGGCCCUUACGUGUUGGGCUACACACGUGCUACAAUGGUAUUCACAAUGGGAUGCAAAGAGGCGACCCCAAGCAAAUCCCAAAAAGGUACCUCAGUUCGGAUUGCACUCUGCAACUCGAGUGCAUGAAGCUGGAAUUGCUAGUAAUCGCGGAUCAGCGCGCCGCGGUGAAUACGUUCCCGGGUCUUGUACACACCGCCCGUCACACCAUGGAAGUUGGUUACACCUUAAGGCAAAGCAUAAAACCUUGACUACG